RNAcentral lists this ribosomal RNA (262 nucleotides) under uncultured bacterium. RNAcentral describes it as "partial 16S ribosomal RNA". It matches the Rfam family "Bacterial small subunit ribosomal RNA", at positions 57 to 305 of the family's 1533-position model. The record is from RNAcentral.
GCAAGUCGAGCGGAAACGACACUAACAAUCCUUCGGGUGCGUUAAUGGGCGCCGAGCGGUGGACGGGUGAGUAAUGCCUUGGAAAUUGCCUUGAUGUGGGGGAUAACCAUUGGAAACGACGGCUAAUACCGCAUAAUGCCUACGGGCCAACGAGGGGGACCUUCGGGCCUCUCGCGUCAAGAUAUGCCUAGGUGGGAUUAGCUAGUUGGUGAGGUAAUGGCUCACCAAGGCGACGAUCCCUAGCUGGUCUGAGAGGAUGAUC